GCUCGACAUUAUAUGGCGUACCCAAGCCCUUUAUCUCACUGACCAGAAUCCAGAAACCAGAAGUUGGACCAUCUGGCUGCCUGUUGGAUCAAUGCUCCCGGUCAACUCACGUCUUCAAGGUCGUCACUGCCAUCACUACCACUACCAUCACCCCUGUGACCAUCACCACUGCUACCAUCACUCCUAUCAAUAGCCAUCACCAUACAGCCAUCACCCCUACAGCCAUCAGGCCUGCAGCCAUCCCCGCUGCCAUCAGCACACCUAUAGCCAUUGUCACUAUGGUAAUCACCUCUACAGUUGACAUCCUUCAGCCAUCACCUCUACAGUCAUCACCAUUGCUGCUAUCACCCUUCCAGCCAUCAUCCUUACAGCUGUCACCCUUCUGGACAUUACAGCCAACCGCACUCAUGACCCUCUCACCCCUAUAACCAUCGUCCCUACAGUCAUCUCUCCUACAACCAUCAUCACAUCCGUGCAGCCAUCAGCCCUGCAGCCAUCACUCCUACAGCCAUCAGUACACCUAAAGCCAUCAUCACUAGAGCAGUCACCCCUCCAGUCAGUACCCCUCAGCCAUCAUGAGUAUAUUUAUCACCACCACAGCUGAAAAGCACUUACAGCCAACUCCACACCUCUAGCAAGUAUCCAACAGGCAUUUAUCAAACACCUAUGCAGUAUAUUCAAUUUGUGGGUUGUCUGUGGCAGAUUUUAAUAACUUUAAUAACUUCUUGGUAUUACAAAAGCAACUUGUAUUUGUCAUACAAUUUCACAAACACAUAAACAAAAAAAAUUUCAAAAUUUCCCAUCAUUGUCCUCUACACUGUUUUAAGCAUCUAUCUACUCUCUGUCUAUAAACAUUUUUUUUCUUUUUACAAAAAUCAUACUGCUCAGAAAACAGAUAAUUGGUUUGGGGAGAAGGGGAGGGGAGAGAAGGGAAGGGAGACAUCACACAGGGUAACAGGAAGCUUUUAGGAGUGAUGAAUAUGUUCACUAUCUUGACUGUGGUGAUGAUUUCAUG
RNAcentral lists this long non-coding RNA (1015 nucleotides) under Homo sapiens (human). RNAcentral describes it as "HSALNT0286295". The record is from RNAcentral. Lineage: Eukaryota; Metazoa; Chordata; Mammalia; Primates; Hominidae.